RNAcentral lists this ribosomal RNA (400 nucleotides) under Discus pauper. RNAcentral describes it as "partial large subunit ribosomal RNA". Lineage: Eukaryota; Metazoa; Mollusca; Gastropoda; Stylommatophora; Endodontidae. The record is from RNAcentral.
AGUCUAUUGAUAAUUUAAUAGAUGAACUCUGCUCAAUGAUAGAUUUAUUAAAUAGCCGCAGUAAACUGACUGUGCAAAGGUAGCAUAAUAAAUUGUCCUCUAAUUAGGGUCUAGUAUGAAAGGAAUCAUAUAUGGAAUCUGUCUCAAAUUCAUACUUUACUAAAUUUACUUAGCCGGUGAAAAUUCCUGCAUUAAUCUAUGAAAGACGAGAAGACCCUUAGAAUUUUUAUUAAAUAUUAAAUUACAUGUAAAUUUUAGUAUUAUUUUCGUUGGGGCGACGAAUAUUCAAUAAAUAACAAUAUUUAUUUAUUUAAUACUAGUCCACUUUUAGUUAGUUAGGUAAAAUUACCUGAGGGAUAACAGCAUAAUUUUUUUAACAUGUUUAUGACCUCGAUGUUGG